Molecule: ribosomal RNA, 289 nt
Filed under: uncultured bacterium
Lineage: Bacteria
Description: partial 16S ribosomal RNA
Rfam family: Bacterial small subunit ribosomal RNA
Source: RNAcentral
GGAUUAGAUACCCUGGUAGUCCACGCAGUAAACGAUGAAUACUAACUGUUGGCGAUAUAUUGUCAGUGGUAAAGCGAAAGCGUUAAGUAUUCCACCUGGGGAGUACGCCGGCAACGGUGAAACUCAAAGGAAUUGACGGGGGCCCGCACAAGCGGAGGAACAUGUGGUUUAAUUCGAUGAUACGCGAGGAACCUUACCCGGGCUUGAACGCAGAGGGACAGACUGAGAAAUCAGUUUUCCAGCAAUGGUCGUCUGCGAGGUGCUGCAUGGUUGUCGUCAGCUCGUGCCG